This 211-nucleotide ribosomal RNA is filed under the name Chaetomium sp. Its description in RNAcentral is "partial large subunit ribosomal RNA". The record is from RNAcentral. Lineage: Eukaryota; Fungi; Ascomycota; Sordariomycetes; Sordariales; Chaetomiaceae.
AAGCGCUUGUGACCAGACUUGCGCCCGGCGGAUCAUCCGGUGUUCUCACCGGUGCACUCCGCCGGGCGCAGGCCAGCAUCGGUUCUCGCGGGGGGACAAAGGUCCCGGGAACGUAGCUCCUCCGGGAGUGUUAUAGCCCGGGGCGUCAUGCCCUCAGCGGGGACCGAGGACCGCGCUUCGGCAAGGAUGCUGGCGUAAUGGUCAUCAGCGA